AAAGCUCAGUCUCCUGCUCAAAACAGGAGUGCAGCAGCCGGAGCGAGUGGGGACAAGCUCGCCGAACACCGGGCGUCUCGACAGGGACCCGAGGCUGCAGGACUGCUCCGAGACGCUGCGGUGACGGCAGCGCCGGAGGAUGCGGAGGACUCUCUGGCCACCUGCCCUCCGUGCGCUCUGCCACCAGCGCUCAGCAGAGACCCCGGGCUGCGGCUGCACUCGCUGAGUGCCUCUCCCAGCAGCCGCAGCCCAGAGGUGCCCGGCACCUGGAGCUCACUGGAGCUGAGGGUCCGAGCUGAGCUGGCUGUUGUAAAGCCGAAAGACGAGUCAGUGACUGGGACCUCUGUCCUGGUGGCGACGGUGAGAAACGGUGAGCCCGAGGGGCGCGGCAUAGAACUCUCCAGCUCCGAGCACUGGGGUCCGCCGGCCGGCAGGGAAGGCAGCUGAGCGCAGAGGCGAGUGAGCGGACGCGUCCUGGGGUCUUUGCAGUCCCCGCCAGCCCAAGGCACCGACUCUCGGUCAGUUGAGCGCGGCAGGGCGGGAGAGGCGCGCCAUGGAGGCGCCGGGUUUCGCCAGUAUGCUCCAGGCCAAGUGAAGCGGUCCGGCUGGGGUCGGCGGGACCCGCGGGCCAUGUACGGCGACAUAUUCAACGCCACGGGCGGCCCCGAGGCGGCGGUAGACAGCGCGCUGGCCCCAGGAGCCACGGUCAAGGCAGAAGGCGCUUUGCCGCUGGAGCUGGCCACUGCGCGCGGUAUGCGGGACGGCGCGGCCACAAAGCCCGACCUGCCCACCUACCUGCUGCUCUUCUUCCUGCUGCUGCUCUCGGUGGCGCUCGUCGUCCUCUUCAUCGGUUGCCAGCUGCGCCAUUCGGCCUUUGCCGCGCUGCCCCACGACCGCUCGCUGCGCGAUGCCCGCGCGCCCUGGAAGACGCGGCCGGUGUAGUGUGGGACUGAGCCACGGCCGCCGGGCGCCCGGUCCCGACCUAGCCAAGAGCAGCCAGCUUGAGCCUGGUAGAGAGGGCAUGAUGCCGGGGAUCGCUGGCCCCUGGGAACACUGCGCCCUGACCCAAAGACCCUUUCUGAACUAGAGUGGCAACCCCAGCGGAAAGGGAGACCGAGGCGUCGGGAGGCUGUGUAGGGUCUCGAUUCCAGUACCUGUAGGUACCGUGGUUCUGAUCCCCUGGCCGAAUCUUUCUUCCUCUGGACAAAGGGUCCAGUCGGGAAACCUUCCUGAAAGGCGGCGCGCCAGCCCGGGCACAGAAGGCUUGCUCGCCGCCUGCUGACUUCCUUACUUUGCACACGGAAGGGACAGGAACCGCGAGCGUGCAACUAGCCUGGAGCUACUUGUCUGGACUCGCAGGCCCUGUGGCUGUUUCCCCACUGCUGCCACCACCUCUCUUGCUCCUUGACACCGAGGAGGACCCCACUAGGAUCUCAGCGUCGUGAACUCACCUGAACUUUGGAAGGUUGGCACUCCGGGGCCGCAUCCCCCUGGGGAAAUGACUGAACGCGGGGUUUCAGUGGGUCCCGCCCGGGUCUAAGGACCCUGUGUUCCUUCUGUGGGCACAGGCAGUGGGAGGCCAGUGGAAAGGCGCAGGGGCCCACCUACGCGUCUCACAUCUUCAGGGGCCGCAUUUCUACAAUAAAAACUCACCCAAUUAAACCUAGUGCUGAGAACGUGCUGGUAAUUGUUUGCGCCGCUUUGGAAAAGGGGAUAAGGGUAGAUCGAUCCUGAGUAGGAGACCCAAGGGAGACCCACCUCCCCUCCCAGGACAUUUUGAUGAUACUACCCCCUCUUCAGCUUUUCCCCAGGGUCGGUCAAUUACUGCCUCGGGAAGUUUUUUUUCAGGAUGGUCUCCAGGGAAAAUUGCUCCCUGACCUGCUGAAUAAAUUCCCAUUAAUAGGGCUCCUGGGGACCCUUUCUGCAGGGCAGUUCCUUCCACCUGGCAUCUUCCCUUUUGCUCUGGGCUUCCCUGGGUCUGAAACCCCUGAAGAGCCAUAUCUGGACCAGAACCAUCUGGUGAAGGAAGAGCCUGAAGGUCAGGUGGUGGCAGUUCCUCCCAAAGGAGAUGGGGCACUUCCUCCCAAAGGAGAUGGGGGCCUGCCCUGGAGAACCUGGCAGGAGGGAAAUGGAUGCAUAAACCCAGUUAAGGGGAAAACAACUUUAAAGAACUUGAGAGGGACUAGAAAGGCUUGUGAUAACCUUACAAAAACCUUAACCAAAGUUAACCCAAUUAUAGGGAGUCUUUUUAUGGGGCUUUAAAACCGUUUCAGGAGUCACCUGGCUCUGGAGCACUAGAGCUUAGAGAAGGUUUGACUGAAAAUGAAUUUGACAGACUGGCUAAUACAGUCAUUCUGACCCACGCCAGGGUCACUUGGGCUUUGGCAAUCUUUAGACAACUAAGGACUCUUGGCUCUGGCCAAAUGCGUACAGGCACAAAAUUCUGCAACAAUUCUAAGAGCUGUGACACUGAAACUGGUUCCUGAGGCCAGAUUGAGGUUGGGGAAGAGAGAUUGGCCAGGGCUCCCGAGGCCCAGCCCAGCCCACCACUUCUCCUCAGUCAGUGCCCAAGAUUCCCUCCUGGCUCCUAUCCCAGGAAGCACUGGAGAGGAGGCAUAGAAACCAGAAAAGCCUCCCCGGGCUUGAUUCUCCACACCUUCCAGAACUAAUACCUACCAGGUCCUAACAAUGCCAAUUCUAUGAUCACCUCAUACAGCAUUUCAGUUUGGUCUUCAGAAAGGUAGCCAAACCUCUGCAGCCUAUAAUAAAGGUAACCCAAGCUAAUCUCCAUGAACCUUGGUUGCAGAGAGGACUAGAUGGAAAUAAAUGUGAGAAAUAUGAGGGCCUGUGGCUGGCAUACAAAAUCACAGGCUGCUGAAAUGGGGGACCCUUCAGCCUUGGUCUGAGGGCUUGGUCUGAGGGAUUAGGAGACUAAUGUAGAGGCAGAGUAUCCCUCUACCACAUGUGGUGGUGGCCAGAUCUGAUGGCAGUAUGCAGAGCAGUCAAACGUACAAGCUCUGGAGUUCAAAUGCCUGGCUUUAAAUCCCAGCUCCACCUCUCACUAGCUGUAUGGCCUUGUGCAAAUAACCUAUUUGAGCCUAUUCCCUCAUCUGCAAAAUGGGUAUUAUGUCACCUAGCUCUACAAGUUUGAAUAAUAGAGUAUAACCAAAGUUAUUAUAACCAAUAACAUGCUAGCAUAAUGCUUGUACAAAAUGAGCGUCCAAAUGAUAGCUAUUUGUAGAACUGAGCUAUAGGCUUGAAGCAGCACUGCUGCUGGGAGAAGGAGACCCCACCAACAGGAUGUGCUCUCACUAGGGCCCACUGUCUUUUGUGACCACAAACAAAUGCAAAGACUGGUUCCUUCAUGGAAGAACAUGAGUAGAUGAACAUCAUCUACUCAUGACUGGCUUAGGAUUCACUUGUAGUUCCUGGGCCAGAAUCAGCUCAAACCAGAGUAAUCCAGGAGGCUUUUGGGAUCUCUCUGAUGUCUCUACAGGGUUGCAGUGGCCUCAGCCACCUAAGUCAAAUGCUUGGCCACUUCAAAUGAAUAGAUACUUUGGGAAUAAGUUUCUGGGUAAUUGAGCCUGCACAGACCUGGAAUCUAGAAAGCACACAGAGUCAGUAAGGGUACUAUCUGCCAGCAUUGUGAACCCAAGUAACAUGGUUCUCUUUUCUAGGAUAGUAUUGGACUGAGGGGUAAUGGGUUCUUUCUCAUGUUGAACCCAGCCCCAGAUUCUCUUCUGAGCAGCAGGGAUGUGUCUGAAUUCACAUCUGCCCUCUACAGAUAUUUAGAAUAAGUGGACUACAGUGUGGUGAUUGGAUAUUUAGAUGGUGUUAAAAUUGAACGCAUAUGUCUUCCCAAGAUUCCUACGUUGAAGCCCUAACCCCGAGAGUGGCUGUAUUUAGAGUAAGAAAGUGAAGUUAUAUGAAAUCAUAAGGGUGGAGCUCUGUUCUGAUAGGAUUAGUGUCCUUGCAGGACCACAGAGAGCUCUCAACUCUGGUCAGGCGCAGGCACUGAGAAAAGGCUAUAUGAGGACACACUGAGAAGAUGGUUAUCUGCAAACUAGGAAGAGGGCCCUCAAUAGAAACCGACUCAGCCGGAACUCUAAUCUUGGAGGACUUCUAGCUUACAGAACUGUGAGAAAAUAAAUUUCUGUUUAAGCUACCCAGUCUAUGGCAUUUUGUUGAAGCAGCCCAAGCUAAGAGAGAUGACUGUCUGGGAGUAGACCUCUGCACACACCCUCCUGCCCUUCGCUCUCCCACCAGUUCCAAGAUGUCUUGAAAUCACCUUUGGAGACAGGGCAUGGCAGGCUAAAAAUAGGAAUAGGGCCCAUGUCACAGGUGUUUGGCUUCCUCUGCUAUAACCAGCCACCAUGAGCAGCCAAGAGGGUAGAGGAAGACAUUUUUGUUGGUGGGGGUUGGGGGAGAGGCUGGAGAUCAUGGUGGGGAGGUAGUUGCCGAUGCUAGGAGCCAAGGAGAGGUAGCAUAGUGGUGACCAAGAGUCUGAGUCCUGGAGCCAAUUACCUGAGCUUGGUUGUCCACUCCAUGCCUUCAUCGUAUUUCUGAUAGCCCGUUUCAUCAUCUGUAGAAUAGAGAUGACAAUACCUGCUUCAAAGGAUUUUCAAUAUGGAGUGAAACAUGAUCAGUACAGUGUUCAGCUCAUGUUUGACAUGUAGUAAAUGCCCUGAAUGUGAGCUAUCAUUAUUAACCAGGAUGACCAUUUCAGAAGUGCGUGCAGCAGUACAAACAACUGCUUCCUGUCAGUGACCUGUCCUUUUAUCAGCCAUGUGCUAUCAGGAAACAGUAAAGAGGUCUGUACUUCCCAACAGGUAUGCCCAGAAUUGGAGGACAGCUAUUCUGGGUCUUUUCUCACUUUGCACUUUCCCCCUAAACUAUCUCAUUUGCUCUCAUGGCUUCAGUUGCUUUUCAGAUGACUCUCCCCACACUAUCCCUGAGCCCACUCAACACCUCCAUUUGGGUAUCUCAUGGGAAACUUCAAACUCAACAAGCCUAAAACUCAUCAUCUGUCUAAAUUAGAUCCUCCUUCAGUCUUCAUCUGAAUAGAUUGCACCAGCGUAUGGUUGCCCAAAGUAAAAAAGGCAUGGUGGUCAUUAUUGACCCUAAACUCUUCCUCAUCCUCCAAUAUGUAACUCAUCACUCCCUAGGCACCACUCUACUCCUGUCCAUGUCCACCAUCACAACUCUAACUCAAAGUUCUACUUCCAUUUUUGUCUCUCCUCACUCAAUAUAACACAUCUGCCUCCAGCCCCAGCAUAUAUACCAAUGGCUUCUCUUUGCUCUCAGGAUUAAACACAAAAGCCUAAUAAGGACCAGAAUCAUCUGGUCCCACCAGCCUCAUCUUCUCUCACUCCUCUUACACUCCAGUGGCCUUUCAAUCCCUAAGGCUCCUCUGCCUAAGCUAUUUGUCUCUCCUCCUUCCUCUGGCUUGAUGCCUUCUCAUCCUUCAUGUCUCCAGUUAAAUGUUUCUUCCUCAGAAAGGGCUUGCCUAAAUCCGGAGGUAAGAUUAUAUCCGCUUAAAACCCCAUAUUGCCUCCCCAAUCACAGCUACUAAAUAACUGCAUAAUUAGUAGCCCAAUGCUUCUUCCCACUAGUAACUGUAAGUUGUAUGAACAGAGAACAGGGAUAUCAUCUGUCCUGUUCACUGUUUUCUCAAUGCCUAGCAUAGUUUUAAACAGAAAAUAGGCAAUAAAUAUUUAUUGAAUGAAAUAUAGUGGGAAAACAGAGCUAGAGGUUAAAGUAAAUUUGAAAGGUGUAUUUACAUCUAAGCAUGUAUCCUUUGAUUUUCCACCUUAAACUAACCUCGUAUCAGGUGAAAUACUGAGUUGAACAUUCCUUUAUUGAUUGGUCUUCCAAGUGGCUAGUUUCCUAGGGGUGGUAAUUCAAAGUUGUUAGCAACUAACGUUUCCUGUCUCCACCUAGGUAACACUUCAGUUAUUACUGUAUCUCCUGCAGAGACUAAAGAACAAACAUUUAAAAGUUUGUACCUUUAGCUAUUUCUGCUUGAAUUACUCCUUUUCCUGCAGAAAAGCACAGAUCAUUGCAGUAACAUUCACAUGCCUUCUGAAUUGCCUUGAAUAAGAACUGGUUAAAUCACUGUUUCACAUAACAACUUCCUCAUCUUCUUGGACUUUGAUCCCUUCCCUGGCUACUAUAUCUAAAAUUAUAAUUCCACCUUGUUCCCCAACCCUGGUAUCUUCCUUUCCUGCUUUUUUUUUUUUUUUCUCUUUGGAACUUACUGGUAAACACAUACAUAUAUUUUAUUUACCUUGUUUGGUGUCUUCAUUAACCAGAAUGAAGAUCCUCAAGAGAAAGAAUUUUUGUUUUAACCACUCUUAUUCCUCAGCCUGACAUCUAACAAGCCCUCAAAUAUUAGUCAAAUGAACGAACAAGCUCAUACGGCUCAGGGCCAGAAAAAAUAAAAGUAUUCAGAAACACAGGAGUAGAGUCUAUAGUUUAAAAUCUCCCUCAUUUGUGGGUCCUGCUUCUCCACCCUCCAAAACUGAUUAACCUAAUGAACUUGGAACUACUCAGUUAUAGCUUCACUUUCCAUGAGGACAAGAACUAUGAUUCCAGCUCUACUGCCUAGCAUAAAGCUUGACCUGUAGUAAUCACUGAAUUGGCAAGUUAGUAUUAAUUGGGUUACAGUCCAAGCUGCUAUAACAAAGCCAUCCGCCACUCAAGUUUCUUUCUCACAGCACUGUUUCAGGGGUAGCACAACUGUUAUCCUCAUCCCUCAGCUUCCAUGUCCACUUCAAGGUGCAUACUCUAGAUCCUGCCUUCAUAUCUGCAUUCCAGCCAGAGGAGAAAAGAGCAAGGGGUGCAUUCCUCUUCCAGAUAUAAUGCAGAAGUGGUGCCUAUCACUUCUGCUAAUAUUCUACUGGCCAAGCUUAGUCACAUGACCAUACCUAGCUGAAAAGAAAGCUAGGAAAUGUGGUAUCCAGCUGGACACAGGUGUUCUGCAAUGAAAGGGCAAACGGGCACUGGUAAGCUUACAGCAGUUUAUUAAA
Molecule: RNA transcript, 7028 nt
Organism: Cercocebus atys (sooty mangabey)
Lineage: Eukaryota; Metazoa; Chordata; Mammalia; Primates; Cercopithecidae
Exons: 1
Source: RefSeq, a predicted model, not a curated record